This 24-nucleotide non-coding RNA is filed under the name Gallus gallus (chicken). The record is from RNAcentral. Lineage: Eukaryota; Metazoa; Chordata; Aves; Galliformes; Phasianidae. RNAcentral also lists the same sequence under 5 other names.
UGGUUCGAUUCCGGCUCGAAGGAC